UUGUUUUUUUUUUUUUUUUGCCUCUUCAGAAUACUAGUAGCAGGACGGGAAGCCUGUUUCUCUCUUUGCUGUCAUAAGUGCUUACUCUUAGUAAAACGAGGACUCUUCGAAGCUUUGUGAGCAGUGGAGUUACAUAAGCUGACUUCCGGGUUUACAAAGGUUCCUCUGGCCACUGUGCCGAGAGCAGACCCUGGGUAAGGGGGAAGCAGGAGGGUCCAACGAAAAGGCCGUUGCCGUCUGAUAUAGCCGGCACGACUUCCUGACAAUUCUGAUGUGGUUUGUGAAAGAAAGAGAGGAGCCAAGGAUUAAUAGGUGUUUGGCCUGCACAACUGAAGGAAGGAGGUACCGUCAAUGAAGAUGGGGAAGAAUGAGGUGAAGCCAAUUUGGAGAAAGAUCAAGAGGGCAGAAGGCAAGCGGUGUAUGGCUGGAUUCUCUGUUCAGGAUUUCACAAGACUGUAAUCAAGGGGUUGGUAAGGCUGAGUUCUUGUCUGAAAGCCCUGGGGAGCAAUCCACUUCUAGUCUCAUUUAAGUUGUUGGCAGAAUUCAGUAUCUUGUGGUGGUUGGACUGAGAUCCCUGUUCCCUUGCUCGCUGUCAGGUGGGAGCCGCUUUCAGCAACGAGAGGCCACUGUCAAGUCUUUGCUCCACGGCCUUCACCUUCAGAAAUGGAAAAUUUCCCUCAUGUUGAAUUCCUUUCAUACUUCAACUUUCUGACUUCUUUUUCUGAGAUCAGCUGGAGAAAGCUAUCAUGUGAUUAGGUCAGGCCCACCUGGAUAUCUCUCACCCCCCUAUCUUAAAAAAUUUUUUUUUACAGUUUACCUGAAUUUUGUUCUAAGUAUCAAGAAACCCGAAGAGCUAUGUAUAACAAAUUAUUACUAGAAAACACAAGUAACUGUUCAAAAAAGAACAGACAAUUCGAUUAAAGUAUAAGUAGUAGCAAAUGCUUAACCAUCCUAUAUUAUUUCUGCCCUUUUCUGGAAAUAUUAUUUUAUUAAAGUAUAACUGACAUAUAACAUCAUAUUAGUUUAAGAUAUACAGCAUAAUUAUUUGAUAUUGGUGUACACUGAGAAAUGAUUAAGACAAUAAGUCUGGUUAUGAUCAUCACCAUGAAGGGUUAGAAAUUUUUUCUUUUUUUAACCUUAGGAUGAGAAUUUUCAAGAUCUACUCUCUUAGCAACUUUCAAAUAUGCAAUAAAAUAUUAUUAGCUAUAGUUACCAGGCUGUAUAUUAUAUCCCCAUGACUUAUGCUUUUUAUAACUGUGACUUUGUAGCUCUUGAUCCCCUUCACCCAUUUUACCCACCUCCUUACUCCCCCCACCCCCCUGGCAACCACCAGUCUGUUCUCUGUUAUCUAUGAGUUCUUGUUUUGUUUUGUUUUUUAGAUUCCACACGAAAGUGAAAUCAUAUGGUAUUUGUCUUUCCCUGUCUUACUUAACUUCACUUAGCAUAAUACCCUCAAGGUCUAUCCAUGUUGUUGCAAAUGACAAGAUUUCGUUCUUUUUGAUGGCUGUGUAAUAUUCCAUUGUUCAUAUAUAUACCACAUCCUCUUUAUCCAUUCACCUAUCAGUGAACACUUAGGUUGUUUCUGUAUCUUGGUUAUUGUAAAUUAUGAUGCACUAUGCAUAGUGGUGCAUCUAUCUUUUCAAAUUAGUGUUUUUGUUUUCUUCAGAUAAAUACCCGGAAGUGGGAUUGCUGAAUCAUAUGGUUGUUCUGUUUUUUUUUUUUUUUUUUUUUUUAAG
Molecule: long non-coding RNA, 1736 nt
Organism: Mirounga angustirostris (Northern elephant seal)
Lineage: Eukaryota; Metazoa; Chordata; Mammalia; Carnivora; Phocidae
Exons: 3
Source: RefSeq, a predicted model, not a curated record